CCCUAAUUCCCCAAUCCCUAAAUCAAAACACAAUGCACGCACACGUUUAGAAAAGGAAGGAAACGAGAAACAGGGGGAGCUCGAGGGGGAAGAAGAAGGGAAGGAGAGGGAGAAGAGCGUGCCGGCGUUGCGCCCAGCUCAUCGUCGUGGAGCUGUUGCCGCUCUCAUCACGGGCCGUCGCUUGUUGUCGCUGCUGGGUUCUUCGUCAGUGCUACUGCAGACAAGAAGAGAAAGAGAGAAAGCCAGUGCGAGAGAAGAGGAGGAGGGGUGCUGUCUCGCGCCGUCACUAUCACGCCUUGUUGUCGUAGCUAUGGAGACCGCCACCGUUGUUGGAAUCGCGAACUGAGGAGAAAGGGAGAGCGACGAUGAGGGAGAUUGACGAAAGCCAGUGAAGCGCGUGAAAGAAGGGGAGCCAAUUUUCGUCAUCGCCACCGCACCCAGUCACCACCGGUGGAGCUCGCCAUCCUUGGAGGUGAAUCGGUGUUGCGUCCUUGCUGCCAGGGCCACCAGCGCUACUGCUACUCCUCAAAUUCCUCCUCUUUUCCUUUGGGGGUUUCUGCCUCAAAUUCCACCCCCCAACAUCACCAUCCUUCUUGUAUUCGUUGGGGAACUUCUUACUUCUUAGUUUCCUGAUUUUUUAGUGAUAUAUUCUUCUGUGUUGUGGAUAACUAGAUCAUGCAAUUUUAUAAGUCCUGCCCCCAUUUAGACAAUCUUAUGAGGCAUGCCGUUUCUUCCUUUUCUGAAUGAACAUCUGAAAUUUAGUCACCAUCUGAUUUGUUUUUACCUAGUAUUCAAUCCUGUUUAGCAGAAAGACGGAUAUUCCUUGCUCAUUAUCAGACAAUCACUUAUUCACAAACCCCUGUGGGGCUAAUAGUUUUAUUGCUGUCAAUUUUAUGAAAGUGAGAUCUAUAGUUUUAUAUAAUGGAUAAUGGAAUAAUUUGUAACAACCAGAUCCUAAAUUUUGAUAACUCUAGUCUUUAGGUAUUUGUCAUUUUAUCUCUAAGUGGUUGAGUAUUAUAUUGGUAUAAAUAGAGACAUUGGGUUAAAGAAAAGGCUUUUCCAGGCCAUAAUGCUAAGACAUAUCCUCUUGAGAUGUUGGCCUUGUGACCAAAUUAUUAUCAUUAUUAUGCACUUGUCUUCUGUAUAAUUUUCAGAAAGCUGUAUUGACUUGUAUUACUUGGGUGCUUCCCUUGCUAAUUUGCUCUAUUUUCAUUUUCAUUGGCGGGGUGCAAAGCUGAAUACGAUCCUAAGAGUGACUUAUUGGAUCAAGAGUUCAUGCUGAGAGGGAAAUGGUAUCAACGGAAGGAUGUAGAGGUAAACAUGAAAAAGUAGAUUUCAUAAUUUCAGUAAAGCUUUUUAAUGUUAGCUAUGUGAGAAUGUAAAUCUGUUUCUUCUUUUGUUUAAUUUUCCAUGAACAUAAAAAGUCGUGGCAAAAGAGUGAAAUAUUAGGCAGCCAAUUGUUGGCUUAAAUGUGGAUCAUGAACCUAUAAACUUAGUCUAGAGCUAAUAAAUUUCAGUGUAGAUUGGAUAUUAUAACUCGUAAGACAUUAGGACUUGUAGAUAUAUGCUUGAACAUGAUAGUUAUUGUGGAGUUAUGGCUUUAUGCUAAAAGAUAUACAGUUUUGUAACUUGAUUUUUCAUCUCUUGAAAUUAUAUUUGGAUGCCACACAAUGUGUUCCUUACUUAGAAUGUCAGCAUGAAACAAUUACUUAGUUAUUAAGUUUUAAAAAAUAAAACUAUAGUAGGAUGACACAAAUUCUCACAUUUAAAUUCCAAUAGAAGAUUUUUUUGUUGGAUUUGUAUCUCAAUGGGAGCUAUAACUAGGCAGGCUUUUAUCAUUCACUUUCUAGCUUCGACCUUUUUCUUUGGAAGGAGGGUUAGAAAUGGCUUGCUAAGCAACAAUGGGUUUGUAGGGAAAAAAACUUGGGUUUAGUUCACAGUUAAUGCAUUGUCAUAAUUAGUUGCUACCGAAGAGAUCUCAUUAAUUUGUUAAAUACUUCCUCCAUUAAGAUUUUGUGGUUAUUUGUAAGGAACUAAGGAUCAUAUAAAACGUAAAGGGAUUACAGUCCAUUAUAUGGUGGCUAAAAUGGCUUGUGAAAGAGGGUGUUUCCAUCAUUGUGAUUCUUGAGAAGUAGAUUUUUGUAUCUCUGUAGCACUAAGGAUUUCAUAUUAUAUUCAUGAGAAAAAAUUAUUUUAGUAAGUUUAUUUGUUGAAUUGGAAACUCAUGUAUGUUUUUGUUCUAAAGUGAAUCAAUUUUUUUCUCCUUGUUAAGUGCAUGUAAGGAUUCAACUUAUCAUUUUGACCGGUAUAUCAUGCCAUUAAUUAUGUGACUCUCUUCAGCCUUAUGUAUGGAGUUGAGGAUCCGUCAAUUACAGGGAUGGUUUUAGAUAGUUCAUUCUCUGAUUUGGUUGAUUUGAUGAUGGAACUUGUAGAUACAUAUAAAGUUCGUCUUCCAAAGUUCACUUUAAAGUUUGCAAUCCAAUACAUGCAAAGAGCAACUCAAAAGCUUUUAGGUUGCACUGAAGAAAAUCCAGAAGAAGGGAAAGGGUGCUGCCUAAUUGUUCUAUUCUCAUACUUGUAUUUUAGAUGAGAUGGAAUGAGUCUUAUAAUGACUUUAGUUAUCUACAUGUAAUAUUUUGAUGUCUUGUGUACUUUUUGAAACGAGAUUUUAUGUGUUAUUACAUGUAAUGGAUAAUUACACUAUUUUUAUUUGUGUUGUUUGGACUAAAAAUAUAUCUAGCUUAUAAUAAAAUUUUUAUGAUUUAGAUUUC
Molecule: non-coding RNA, 2771 nt
Organism: Arachis ipaensis
Lineage: Eukaryota; Viridiplantae; Streptophyta; Magnoliopsida; Fabales; Fabaceae
Source: RefSeq, a predicted model, not a curated record